This 116-nucleotide non-coding RNA is filed under the name Enterobacter mori. Lineage: Bacteria; Pseudomonadati; Pseudomonadota; Gammaproteobacteria; Enterobacterales; Enterobacteriaceae. The record is from RNAcentral.
AGGGCUGGCCCCUCGAAGUCGGCGUACAGGCGCAGGCUUCAAACCACCCUGAGCUGCAUCGGUUAAGAGCCGUUGUGGUGAGCGUCAGGGAAAAGGCGCGGGGAAACUGCGUCAGG